This 279-nucleotide ribosomal RNA is filed under the name uncultured Prevotellaceae bacterium. RNAcentral describes it as "partial 16S ribosomal RNA". It matches the Rfam family "Archaeal small subunit ribosomal RNA", at positions 461 to 739 of the family's 1478-position model. The record is from RNAcentral. Lineage: Bacteria; Pseudomonadati; Bacteroidota; Bacteroidia; Bacteroidales; Prevotellaceae.
GCAGCCGCGGUAACACCGGCAGCUCUAGUGGUAACAAUUUUUAUUGGGCCUAAAGCGUCCGUAGCCGGUUUAAUAAGUCUCUGGUGAAAUCCUGCAGCUUAACUGUGGGAAUUGCUGGAGAUACUAUUAGACUUGAGACCGGGAGAGGUUAGAGGUACUCCCAGGGUAGAGGUGAAAUUCUGUAAUCCUGGGAGGACCGCCUGUUGCGAAGGCGUCUAACUGGAACGGUUCUGACGGUGAGGGACGAAAGUUAGGGGCGCGAACCGGAUUAGAUACCCC